CCAUUGUGAGCAAAAAAAACUUAUACAACUUUCAACAAUGGAUCUCUUGGCUCUCGCAUCGAUGAAGAACGCAGCGAAAUGCGAUAAGUAAUGUGAAUUGCAGAAUUCAGUGAAUCAUCGAAUCUUUGAACACACCUUGUGCUCCUUGGGUUACCUAUGGAGCAUGCCUGUUUGAGUGUCAUGUUAACCUCAAUUCCCCUCAUGCUUUUUCAUUUGUUUUUUUACAAAUGAAAGGGUUUGUUUUUAGGGUAAUUGGAUUUUGGGGGUUCAUGCAGGGUCCCCCUUGUAGGGAAUCAGCUCCCCUUAAACAUAUUAGCUUGGAGGGAUGAAGCAAAUAGCUCUUAGCAUUGUUCAUUGGCUAUGGUGUAAUAAUUGUUUCAUCAUGGCAAUAUAAGUGAUUCAAUGCAAAUGGGGAAUAUAGUCCUCAGGAGACUUUUGUAGCAUUUCUCUGCUUCUAAUUUGUCAGGUCUUAUCUGGCAAUUCAUGUAUUUUCUUUGGCCUCAAAUCAGGUAGGACUACCCGCUGAACUUAAGCAUAUCAUUAAGCGGAGGAAAAGAAACUAACAAGGAUUCCCCUAGUAACUGCGAGUGAAGCGGGAAGAGCUCAAAUU
This 610-nucleotide ribosomal RNA is filed under the name uncultured fungus. RNAcentral describes it as "eukaryotic LSU rRNA". The stretch from base 27 to 181 matches the Rfam family "5.8S ribosomal RNA". Lineage: Eukaryota; Fungi. The record is from RNAcentral.